RNAcentral lists this ribosomal RNA (207 nucleotides) under uncultured bacterium. Its description in RNAcentral is "partial 16S ribosomal RNA". It matches the Rfam family "Bacterial small subunit ribosomal RNA", at positions 568 to 774 of the family's 1533-position model. The record is from RNAcentral.
CUCGUAGGCGGCCAACUAAGUCGGACGUGAAAUCCCUCGGCUUAACCGAGGAACUGCGUCCGAUACUGGAUGGCUUGAGUCCGGGAGAGGGAUGCGGAAUUCCAGGUGUAGCGGUGAAAUGCGUAGAUAUCUGGAGGAACACCGGUGGCGAAGGCGGCAUCCUGGACCGGCACUGACGCUGAGUGAGCGAAAGCCAGGGAGCAAACG